RNAcentral lists this ribosomal RNA (253 nucleotides) under uncultured bacterium. RNAcentral describes it as "partial 16S ribosomal RNA". It matches the Rfam family "Bacterial small subunit ribosomal RNA", at positions 524 to 776 of the family's 1533-position model. The record is from RNAcentral.
UACGAAGGUGGCAAGCGUUGUUCGGAUUCACUGGGCGUACAGGGAGCGUAGGCGGUUAGGAAAGCCCUCCGUGAAAUCUCCGGGCCUAACCCGGAAAGUGCAGAGGGGACUGCUUGGCUAGAGGAUGGGAGAGGAGCGCGGAAUUCCCGGUGUAGCGGUGAAAUGCGUAGAGAUCGGGAGGAAGGCCGGUGGCGAAGGCGGCGCUCUGGAACAUUUCUGACGCUGAGGCUCGAAAGCGUGGGGAGCAAACAGG